GACGAACGCUGGCGGCAUGCCUAAUACAUGCAAGUCGAGCGAACAGAUGAAGUGCUUGCACUUCUGACGUUAGCGGCGAACGGGUGAGUAACACGUAAGGAAUCUACCUAUAAGCGGGGGAUAACAUUCGGAAACGGGUGCUAAUACCGCAUAAUAUCUUCUUCCGCAUGGAAGAAGAUUGAAAGACGGCUCUGCUGUCACUUAUAGAUGACCUUGCGGUGCAUUAGUUAGUUGGUGGGGUAACGGCCUACCAAGACGAUGAUGCAUACCGGACGUGAGAGGGUGAUCGGCCACAUUGGGACUGAGACACGGCCCAAACACCUACGGGAGGCAGCAGUAGGGAAUCUUCCGCAAUGGGCGAAAGCCUGACGGAGCAGUGUCGCGUGAGUGAAGAAUGCCUUCGGGUCGUAAAACUCUGUUAUAAGAGAAGAACAAAUUGUAGAGUAACUGCUACAGUCUUGACGGUAUCUUAUCAGAAAGCCACGGCUAACUACGUGCCAGCCGCCGCGGUAA
RNAcentral lists this ribosomal RNA (513 nucleotides) under uncultured bacterium. RNAcentral's name for it is "partial 16S ribosomal RNA". It matches the Rfam family "Bacterial small subunit ribosomal RNA", at positions 28 to 523 of the family's 1533-position model. The record is from RNAcentral.